UCUGCGUUGCCUGCGAUCCACUUGCAACACUUGCGCUGCUGCUGGUGCGGCGCGGCGGCUGCAAUUGCUGCUGCAGUUGCUCACGUUUCAGCAGAGCAGGUUUUUUCUGCUGCUGCUGAUGCUGCUGCUGCUGCUGUGUCUGUU
This 144-nucleotide small RNA is filed under the name Drosophila guanche. Lineage: Eukaryota; Metazoa; Arthropoda; Insecta; Diptera; Drosophilidae. The record is from RNAcentral.